Long non-coding RNA from Anguilla rostrata (American eel), 738 nucleotides. RefSeq lists it as uncharacterized. The transcript has 2 exons. The record is from RefSeq and is a predicted model, not a curated record. NCBI's taxonomy places the organism in Eukaryota, Metazoa, Chordata, Actinopteri, Anguilliformes, Anguillidae.
UCUUUCUGAUGGGUAUGCUCCUGUAUGCUUUCUGAUGGGAACACAUCUCCUGGUCUUUAGGUCACUUUAGGUCUGGAGGCUUAUGAAUGUACCUGUAAGUUCCAGCUGUUGGGCUUCACUCUUUUUUUCUUGUUUUGUUGUAUUUGUCAUGAAAUCUGAGGAAGAACAGUUCUCUGAUGGUACACGGUGACGAUGCAAGUGUUUAUUUUGCUGUAUAAUUUGAUAAUGUGAAAAUGGGACUGAUCUUUAAACUGUCAAAUAACAUGCUUUCAUGUCCUAAUGGUACAUGACAUCAUGUUUAAGUAGUUUUUCAUCCCUCGUUCUGGUUCUGGCUUGUCACAAGGAAUCUGAAAGAUUAGCUACAGAGCUAUCCCCACAGGUUUUAGGUAGACGAUGGACCGUUGAACACAUUUCACUUCUUGUUGUGGCUGAGUGGGAAUUAAGUCGGGUCCAACUGAACUCUCAUUGGUCCACAGAAAACCAGGAGGAAAUUACAACGAAGUGAAUUCAAUGUUGGUGCUGGGUGUUGAGCACAGCGACUGCAGAAAUAGGGUUUGUAGGAGCAGCAUACAUGGCUAGGGGUCAGAAUGAUAAAGCCAUUACCUCAGUGGAUCCCAACCUGCCACAUUCCUGGUUGGCUGAUCCACUGCCCAUUUGAAUUGUGGAAGAAUGUAAUAUGUCUGUUCCACUGUUCAACUGUGUUUUUGUUCUUUUGGGAAUUAAAUGGUUUCUGUGUCU